Long non-coding RNA from Oxyura jamaicensis (ruddy duck), 847 nucleotides. RefSeq lists it as uncharacterized. The transcript has 3 exons. Lineage: Eukaryota; Metazoa; Chordata; Aves; Anseriformes; Anatidae. The record is from RefSeq and is a predicted model, not a curated record.
UUGCAUAAGAGCCUGAGUCAGACAUUAGUGGGACAAGAUUUAUAUACAACGAUAAAACAAGUAACUCAACAAUAUAGCAUUUGUUUACACAACAACCCCAAUACUAAGAAUAAAAUAAAAUUUGGAAUAAUUGGUAAAGGAAAUUAUCUGGGACAACAGUGGCAAAUUGAUUUUUCAGAACUCCCUAGAAAAGGGGGGUAUCGUUAUUUAUUGGUUCUGACUGACACGUUUUCAGGAUGGCCCGAAGCCUUUCCCUGUCGAACAAACAAAGCAAGAGAAGUGGUUAAAGUCUUGUUAAAUGAAAUAAUAAUUCCAGUAGCAAUGUCCUCUGAUAGAGGUUCACAUUUUUAUGUGCAAGUGGUACAACAGAUAAGUAAGAUUCUAAAGAUAGAUUGGCAACUACAUACUCCUUAUAGACCGCAGGCAAGUGGACAAGUAGAAAAAAUGAACCAUUUAAUUAAACAACAAAUAGCUAAAAUCGGACAAGAAGCUAAUUUGUCAUAGCCUCAAUCCCUUCCUUUAGCAUUACUUAGAAUUAGAGUUAAACCUAGAGUAAAGGAGAAUUUGAGUCCCUUUGAAAUCUUAUAUGGGAAGCCGUAUCAAUUUCUAUUUAGUGGAGAGGAUCUAACGCAGUUAGGAUCAGAAUAUUUAUAUGCUUAUAUAACUGAACUUCAGAAACAAUUAAAUAAAGUACAUAAAUUGAUUUUAGGGACCAGGGCUAGAGGGCUGGAUCAACCAAUCCACCCCUUUAAGCUCGGGGAUUAUGUAUAUAUAAAGACUUUUUCAGGACAACCCCUAGAAGAAAGAUGGACCGGACCAUAUCAGGUGUUUCUGAACACAGACCGCC